Molecule: microRNA precursor, 114 nt
Filed under: Gossypium arboreum
Lineage: Eukaryota; Viridiplantae; Streptophyta; Magnoliopsida; Malvales; Malvaceae
Description: MIR7502 microRNA precursor family
Rfam family: MIR7502 microRNA precursor family
Source: Rfam by way of RNAcentral
UGUUAAAAUUUUUAUUCAUUUGUACUAUUAAAAAUUGACAUGGUUGACGGAAUAACUAGAUAAUGACAUUUGAUGCACCAAUUUUUAACAAUAAAAAUAAAUAAAUUUUUAAUA